GGGAGGCACCUGCAUCUGGGGCGCGGCGAAUCCUCGCGUGCGCCAGGCCGCCUGGGGUAGUCGCCGAGACUGCGCCGGCCAGCGGGGCCGAAACCUAAUCAGGAGCUGAGCUUUGAUGGCGGCUUCUGGAGGGACAAAGAAGGCGCAGAGCGGUGGGAGGAGGCUGCGAGAACCUAGCUCCCGCCCCAGCCGACGUGCGAGACAAAGGCCCCGGCGCGGGGCUCUUCGGAAGGCCGGGAGGUUCCUGUGACAAUGCGAGUCUGCGCCCCACGCUCCCGCACCGUGAUGCCGAGGCCAAAUGGCUAGAGUGGGCCCAGGCAUCAGCAUUUCUGUUUGGCAGCCGGGCAGUUGUGGUGCACGUUUUGAGGAACUACUAAAGCCUGCCUGUGAUGAAAAAGGCAAAAGCUGACUUCACCAAAAUUACUCCCAGGGAGACUUCUGCAUUUGGCUGGAAGGACAUUUGAGUAAACCGCUGAGGCUGGUGGUUGAAACAUAAUCCUCUAAGGGAGAUCGGUUCCGAUACCCUGAGUUAGGGACGCUUGCCUGGGCAGAGCUAAGGGGAGAAUGAUCAAAAGCCAAGCUCUGUCCCCGUCAGCACGUCACCCUCCCUCACUGUAAUCCCUGACUGUUUUCUCUAAAUGAAGAAUUAUUUAGAGAAUAUAAAUUAGAAGGGCCGCCACGUCAGAAUUGCCUGAGUGGGAGCAGUCUUUCCAGCCUCGAAAAAUGUUUAAACAAUAUGCAGAUGACCUAGCACAAAUAAAGAAUGCUAGCAACCGCUGUUAUGUGUGAGCGGUGGAAUUGGGAGGGCUCUUCCCCCAAUCUUCAUCAAACAGAGAACUCAACUGUUAGGCAGAAGGGAGGAAUGUACUGUUGAUAUGGACAGACUCCAAGAAGGGGAGGGACUGCUGGGACUACUAGAACGAGAAUGCCUCUGCCCCUAUGGCUCAGCUCUGCAACUCUCUCUGCACAUUGGCUUCAUGCUGUUAGACCAGCUUCCUCCAUAUGUCUGGAAACAAGGCCACUGACAGCUCCCAACAUUUCAUCUUCUGCCUCAUCAUCAGACAGGCGAGUGCAGUGGCAUAAUCUCGGCUCACUGCAACCUUUGCCUCCUGGGUUCAAGCAAAAACUGGAAUGAUGCAGCUUCAGGCCAAGGAAUGCUGGCAGCCACCAGAAGCUGAAGGACACAAGGAAUGGAUUCUCAGAGCCUCGGCAGGAAAUGUGGCCCUGCCAACACCUUGAUUUCAGACUUCUCAACUCCAGUACUGGGAGGGAAUAAAUUUCUGUUGUUUUAAGCCUCCCAGUUUGUGAUAAUUUGCUACAGCAGCCACAGGAAGCAAAUAAGGAGGGCCUAUUUGGAGGAGGAUGCAAACCCAGCAGUGGGUGAUGAACUAUUCUUACUUACAGCUACCUUAUUCAUUACUAGUCUAGACUUAAGCAUUGACUUCAUCACUGAAAAGGCUGCAGCUGAGCCUAGAGUUUCAGGUUCCUGUGCUGCAUAUGGCUACAGUGAUUCUUAGGUCAGCUCCCUAGGAUGCAGUUGAGUCUCUCUCUAACUGAUGAGUCUCUUUAAAUAUACAGUUGGGGCUGGGUGCGGUGGCUCACACCUCUAAUCCUAGCACUUUUGGAGGUUGAGGAGGGAGGAUCACUGGAACCCAGGAGUUCAAGACCAGCCUUGCCAACAUAGUGAAACCCAUCUCUACUAAAAAAAUACAAAAAUUAGCCGGGCAUGGUGGCGCACACCUGUAAUCCCAGCUACUCGAGAGGCUGAGGUGGGAGAAUCACUUGAACCUGAGAGGCAGAGGCUGCAGUGAGCCAACAUCGUGCCACUACACUCCAGCCUGGGCAACAGAGUGAGACUCUGUCUCAAAACUAUGUAAAUAAAUAAAUAAAUCUACAGCGGGCCCUCCCUGUUCUUGGGUUCUG
This 1923-nucleotide long non-coding RNA is filed under the name Homo sapiens (human). RNAcentral's name for it is "HSALNT0325184". The record is from RNAcentral. Lineage: Eukaryota; Metazoa; Chordata; Mammalia; Primates; Hominidae.